UGGUUGUUUACUAUGUUGUUUGCUCUUUUCCGGUGUUUCUUCUUCGGGUUGGUUCCGAUAAUGUCGCGUUUGUGAGGAUUCGUUCAACUACGUCCGUUUGUCUUCUUCAUGGACUCGUUCUUCUUCCUUGCAGGAUUUCAGGCAAGAUGACCAUACCCUCGAAAUCACUUCUAUCUUUGCUUGCUAGUUGCUCGCUCUUUUGCUAUGCCUAUGCUGCGAUACCUACCACUUGCUUAUCAUGCCUCCCAUAUUAUUGAACCAAGCCUCUAACCCACCUUGUCCUAGCAAACCGUUGUUUGGCUAUGUUACCGCUUUGCUCAGCCCCUCUUAUAGCGUUGUUAGUUGCAGGUGAAGAUUGAAGUUUGUUCCUUGUUGGAACAUGGAGAUGUUGUUCCUUGUUGGAACAUGUUUACUUGUUGGGAUAUCACAAUAUCUCUUAUUUAAUUAAUGCAUCUAUAUACUUGGUAAAGGGUGGAAGGCUCGGCCUUAUGCCUGGUGUUUUGUUCCACUCUUGCCGCCCUAGUUUCCGUCAUAUCGGUGUUAUGUUCCCGGAUUUUGCAUUCCUUACGCGGUUGGGCUAUAAUGGGAACCCCUUGACAGUUCGCCUUGAAUAAAACUCUUCCAGCAAUGCCCAACAUUGGUUUUACCAUUUGCCACCUAGCCUUUUCUUUCCCUUGGGUUCUGCAGACUCAAGGGUCAUCAUUAUUUUAACCCCCCCCGGGCCAGUGCUCCUCUGAGUGUUGGUCCGAACCGAGCUGCCUGCGGGGCCACCUCGGGGCAACUUGAGGUUUGGUUUUACUCGUAGCUAGUCUCAUCUGAGUGUGCCUUGAGAACGAGAUAUGUGCAGCUCCUAUCGGGAUUUGUCGGCACAUUCGGGCGGUGUUGCUGGAUUUGUUUUAACUUGUCAAAGUUGUCUUGUAGAACCGGGAUACCGAGUCUGAUCGGAAUGUCUCGGGAGAAGGUAUAUCCUUCGUUGACCGUGAGAGCUUGUGAUGGGAUAAGUUGGGACACCCCUGCAGGGUUUUGAACUUUCGAAAGCCGUGCCCGCGGUUAUGGGCAGAUGGGAAUUUGUUAAUGUCCGGUUGUAGAAAACCUGAAGUUGAUCUUAAUUAAAAUACAUCAACCGCGUGUGUAAUCGUGAUGGUCUCUUUCCAGCGGAGUCCGGGAAGUGAACAUGGUGUUGGAGUUAUGCUUGACGUAGGUUGUUCUAGGAUCACUUCUUGAUCAUAGUUGUUCGACCAUGCUUUUGCAUUCUCUUCUCACUCUCUUUUGCGAAUAGGUUAGCCACCAUAUAUGCUAGUCGCUUGCCGCAGCUCCACCUCAUACAUGUUACCCUUCCUAUAAGCUUAAAUAGUCUUGAUCGUGAGGGUGUGAGAUUGCUGAGUCCCCGUGACUCACAGAUACUUCCAAAACCAGUUUGCAGGUGCCGAUGUUACCAAGCAAGUGACGCAACCAAGCUCAAGGAGGAGCUCUAUGAAGAUCGUGUUCGUUAUGUUGUUCCGUUUCCAGUUGAUCAGUAGAGGAGCCCAGUUGGGGUCGAUCAGGGAUCUGUGUAGCAUUUGGGGUAGUCUUCUUUUAUUUUGGUUCCGUAGUCGGACCUUAAUUGUAUCUGUAUGAUGUAAUGCUUUAUUCAUGUAAUUGUGUGAAGUGGCGAUUCUAAGCCAACUAUGUAUUUUUUCCCUUAUGUAUUACAUGGG
This 1697-nucleotide long non-coding RNA is filed under the name Triticum aestivum (bread wheat). RNAcentral's name for it is "long non-coding RNA (TAES_LNC020778)". Lineage: Eukaryota; Viridiplantae; Streptophyta; Magnoliopsida; Poales; Poaceae. The record is from RNAcentral.